CACACAUCAAAUGUCUGCGGUACAAUUAAGAUAGUUAAACUGGCAGAUCAGGUGGAAAGCAUGGUGCAAAUUUGAAUUUUUGGAACAAUCAUUUGGUUGUAUAGUUUACUUGUAGUAGUUCAUAGAUUAUAAUAUGUCAAUUUUGAGGUAAGGUGACCACAUGGCAAGCAAGAUGUCAUGGAGCAAAUUUGAGGUAAGGUGACCACAUGGCAAGCAAGAUGUCAUGGAGCAAAUUUCAGUGGACAACCGACGAAGUAGAGUGCUAAUUGGGUGCGUACUCGAUCGAGCAUCCAGAGCUUCGCCUAGUUUCUUUCCCUAUCAGACAUCACUUCCCUUCUCCUUGGAGGCUGAAGGACCCCUUUGAAGGAACUAUCGAAUGUUAAGCUUCAUGGCAUUUUGGCAAGGCCAACAACAUUAACUUUUGGUUCAUUAACAGUACCUUAAACUGAUCUACAAAUGUGGUACAUAGAAUGAGUAAGUAGUGAGCUCGCCAGGUUAUGUGGCAUGAGUGGUGAGAUGAGAUGAUAUGAUCUCCAGGAAAAAAAAGUGAUGCCAAAAAAAUUCAGUUCAUUGGAGCUAAAUUUGAGAGAAAGAUGAAAUACUUGAGUAAAAAACUAAGCACAAAAUCUUCCCCUCAAUCUGCUUGGAUUUUGUCAAAGACAUAACAGGCAUAGAUAAAA
Non-coding RNA from Aegilops tauschii subsp. strangulata, 680 nucleotides. The record is from RefSeq and is a predicted model, not a curated record. Lineage: Eukaryota; Viridiplantae; Streptophyta; Magnoliopsida; Poales; Poaceae.